CUAUCGAAGGAGGGGAGGAGCCUCUUCCGUUCAUCUACUAACUAAUUGGCUAUCGAAGGAGGGGAGGAGCCUCUUCCGUUCAUCUACUAACUAAUUAGCACCACUCGACCACUAAUCGGUUUCCGGAUCACGCAGGAGAGAGGACAGACUUUUUCCCAAAUGAGAAAAGGCCGUCCAUACAUACAUAGAAGAGUCUGUCCUUCUAGCGGUUGAUACUCAGAGAGAUACUAGUCUCUCUGAGACCAGAGGGACAGGUCAGUAAAACACAGAACAAUAAGGGACGAAAAUAGCUUUGAAUAGCUUUUCCCUGAAUAGGAGAAACUCUGGGGCUCCACGCUCACGUCGCUGACUGUCUGUGUAGGAAAACAAUAUGGCCACCCUGCAGUGAGAAGAGAACACCACUCAGCCUGACAACCAGGCUUCAUUGGGUGAGUCUGGGACUACGUCCUAAAUGGCACCCUAUUCCCUACAUAGUGCACUACUUUAUACCAGAGCUCUAUGGGCCCUGGCACCCUAUUCCCUAUAUAGUGCACUACUUUAGACCAGAGCCCUAUUCCCUACAUAGUGCACUACUUUAGACCAGAGCCCUAUGGCACCCUAUUCCCUACAUAGUGCACUACUUUAGACCAGAGCCUGUGUAGGGAAUAGGGUGACGUUCACUGUCUGCACUGGAAACUGGUGCAGAGAGGAGAGGAGGAGAGAGAGAAAGGAAGGAAAGGAGGAGAGAGAGAAAGGAAGGAAAGGAGGAGAGAGAGAAAGAAAGGAAAGGAAAGGAGGAGAGAGAGAAAGAAGAAAGGAAAGGAGGAGAGAGAGAAAGGAAGGAGAGGAAAACUGGCAGGCAGACUGGAUGACUCUGGGGAGAAGAGAGGAGGGAGGGAGGGGAGAAGGAGGGAGGGAGAUGGGAGGUAAAGAACAAGGAGGGAGGGAGAUGGGAGGUAAAGAACAAGGAGGGAGGGAGAUGGGAGGUAAAGAGGAAGGGAGUCUGGAGAGAAUGCAAAGUGAGGGAGAUGGAUAGAUGUAAAGUGGAAGAGAGGGAGAAGGGAGAGUGAGGAGAUAUGAGGGAGAGAGAGCAGGCAGAGUGAGGGAGAGAGAGAGAGCAGGCAGAGUGAGGGAGAGAGAGAGAGCAGGCAGAGUGAGGGAGAUAGAGAGAGCAGGCAGAGUGAGGGAGAGAGAGAGAGCAGGCAGAGUGAGGGAGGGAGAGAGAGCAGGCAGAGUGAGGGAGGGAGAGAGAGCAGGCAGAGUGAGGGAGGGAGAGAGAGCAGGCAGAGUGAGGGAGAUGUAGGGAGAGAGAGCAGGCAGAGUGAGGGAGAUGUAGGGAGAGAGAGCAGGCAGAGUGAGGGAGAGAGAGAGCAGGCAGAGUGAGGGAGAUGUAGGGAGAGAGAGCAGGCAGAGUGAGGGAGAGAGAGCAGGCAGAGUGAGGGAGAUGUAGGGAGAGAGACCAGGCAGAGUGAGGGAGGGAGAGAGACCAGGCAGAGUGAGGGAGAUGUAGGGAGAGAGAGCAGGCAGAGUGAGGGAGAUGUAGGGAGAGAGAGCAGGCAGAGUGAGGGAGAGAGAGAGAGAGCAGGCAGAGUGAGGGAGAUGUAGGGAGAGAGAGCAGGCAGAGUGAGGGAGAGAGAGAGAGAGCAGGCAGAGUGAGGGAGAUGUAGGGAGAGAGAGCAGGCAGAGUGAGGGAGAUGUAGGGAGAGAGAGCAGGCAGAGUGAGGGAGAGAGAGAGAGCAGGCAGAGUGAGGGAGAGAGAGAGAGCAGGCAGAGUGAGGGAGAUGUAGGGAGAGAGAGCAGGCAGAGUGAGGGAGGGAGAGAGACCAGGCAGAGUGAGGGAGGGAGAGAGAGCAGGCAGAGUGAGGGAGGGAGAGAGAGCAGGCAGAGUGAGGGAGAUGUAGGGAGAGAGAGCAGGCAGAGUGAGGGAGAUGUAGGGAGAGAGAGCAGGCAGAGUGAGGGAGAUGUAGGGAGAGAGAGCAGGCAGAGUGAGGGAGAUUUAGGGAGAGAGACC
Oncorhynchus tshawytscha (Chinook salmon) is the source of this 1990-nucleotide long non-coding RNA. The record is from Ensembl. Lineage: Eukaryota; Metazoa; Chordata; Actinopteri; Salmoniformes; Salmonidae.